AAUCAUAUGGAGAAGCCUGCUGUGCGUAGCUCUGCGUAGCCUGACGCGCACCUCGCAAAAAUGUUAACAGCGCGUCAAAUCUACGCUGACCGCAAGCGCUGUGAUUGGUCCACCAGAACCCCUCCCGUCAGUUGAGCAAGCCAAGCUGAAGUAGAGACGCCAGAGCCGUUAUAAUCAUGAACAUGAGGAGUCCUCCACGUCGACCCAUCAAACCCACAGCAGGGCACAGCGCCACGCAGGACGCCACGGUGAUGCCCGCCAUGGUGUAGUAGUCAGCAUAGAAGUUAUGAAACAUGGUGGUUGUCUCCAUGUUUGGGUCCAUCAUACUGCGUGCGAAGCAGUGGUGGAUGCCAUAACCUGCUAGUCUGAGAGAAGAAUUGAGAGAAUUACGUGAAGUGGAACUAAAACAUAACCGGGGAAUACUACAGACUUGAAGAGAACUACAACAUAAUGUUUAUUUGUAAUAAAACUACAUCUCUUUCAAACAUUUUAAGUAUGCGAAGAGCACUGUAAAUAAUAAAUCCCAUCAGCAGGUCUCUAGUAUGUGGAAGAAAGCCCAUUGAUUCAAUACUUAGAUGCUCUGGU
Molecule: non-coding RNA, 585 nt
Organism: Paramisgurnus dabryanus
Lineage: Eukaryota; Metazoa; Chordata; Actinopteri; Cypriniformes; Cobitidae
Source: RefSeq, a predicted model, not a curated record